CUUCUUUGCAUUGUCAGCACAUGCUUCAGUGAUCUGAGAGUGUUUAUAGUGCUGUGAGUUUAACACUUCAUGACUGACAGCAGAACAGAACACAAUCUUCAUCAUCACACAACACAAAACAACAACAAUGACCUUCAGCAUCAUCUUCAUCUGGACACUUUUAUUCUGUAUACAAGGAUCAAGUGGACAGAUCACAGUGACUCAGACUCCUUCAGUGAAACUUGCUGCUCCAGGAGAGACUGUUGUGUUGAAAUGUACUGCCAGCACUCCUUUAACAGGCUGCAGCCCACCCUGUCUGUCCUGGUACUUACAGAAACCUGGAGAAGCUCCUAAACUCCUGAUUUAUAGAGUGAGCAACCUUCAGUCUGGAACUCCAUCUAGAUUCAGUGGCAGUGGAUCUGGAAGUGAUUUCACUCUGACCAUCAGUGGAGUCCAGACUGAAGAUACAGGAGAUUAUUACUGUCUGAGUUAUCACUACAUCAGUAGUAGCUGGGUGUUCACACAGUGAUAAAGAGUCGUACAAAAACCUCCGUCAGUCAGACUGCACAGUGACUGCACUGAUACAACUGACAGAUACUGCAGCUGCUCAUACAACACAAUCACUCAGUAUAGCCU
Non-coding RNA from Myxocyprinus asiaticus (Chinese sucker), 615 nucleotides. Lineage: Eukaryota; Metazoa; Chordata; Actinopteri; Cypriniformes; Catostomidae. The record is from the annotation of a RefSeq genome assembly.